RNAcentral lists this long non-coding RNA (461 nucleotides) under Linum usitatissimum (flax). RNAcentral's name for it is "long non-coding RNA (LUSI_LNC001640)". The record is from RNAcentral. Lineage: Eukaryota; Viridiplantae; Streptophyta; Magnoliopsida; Malpighiales; Linaceae.
CUUCAACCGGACCGGAAAGCUUGGGUGGUUCAAGGUAGUCAGCUUUUACAGGUACAUCAGAAACUCCUGCUGCUGACCGAGGUUUGUGCUGCACUUCUUCAUAUCCAUUUCGAAAAUUCGCUCCAACACCAAAUUUCCUCCUCUUAUCGGGUUUACCGGCCUUUGUAAGAUAGCUUACGACUUGCUUGGCUUCUGGUGUUGUUCUCCCAUUCAACAAGGCAGGUUUAGGGGAUGGUUUUUCCUUGGAAGCUGAUUUGACUUUUCUUCCAUUACGGUUGUCCUGAUUAAAAGUUUCAGCAGAUGCUCCAUUAGAAGUUCCGGAGUAAGAUCCCCACUGAAAAGGCGAUACAUUACUAGGAGCAUACUCGUACGUAUGAGAGACUCCGUUUCCCGUGUUCAAGGGAUCGUAUCCAUUUCGAAAAUCCGCUCCAACGACAAUCUUCCUCCUCUUGUCGGGUUUA